CGGUCUUCAACCGUCGUCCUCGGAGCCGCUGAACUUUUCACGCUGUUCCUACGCGGACACACUCCCGAGUUUUAGGACAAAACAAAUGGCCCGUCCGUCCUCACCGUCUUCUAGCCAUUUAGUGUGGGAUUUAGUUGUGAAUUUAGAAAGCAGAUUUGUCUAAACUGCGGCGCAACUUCAGAGAGACCGAAGACCGAAGUUGUAGCCGAGAUAAAGGAAUCUGGAUCGGCCCUUCUGCUCGCGUCAACGGUCAAAGUCAAGAUGUCUGUAAGCAACCACGAAAACCGGAAGUCGCGCUCCAGCUCUGGCUCCAUGAACAUCCAGCUUUUUCACAAGACGUCGCACGCCGACAGCCUGUUGACUCAGCUCAACCUGCUGCGCAAGCGAAGAGUCUUCACCGACGUCGUCCUGAAAGCUGGCAACCGCUCCUUCCCAUGCCACCGGGCGGUCCUGGCCUCCUGUAGCCGCUACUUUGAGGCCAUGUUCAGCGGGGGGCUCAGGGAGAGUCGGGAUGCUGACGUCAACUUUCACGACUCCCUCCACCCCGAAGUCCUGGAACUGUUGCUUGACUAUGCCUACUCGGCCCGGGUCAUCAUCAAUGAGGAGAACGCGGAGUCACUGCUGGAAGCUGGGGACAUGCUUCAGUUCCACGACAUCCGGGACGCAGCGGCAGAGUUCCUAGAGAAGAACCUCCAUCCGUCUAAUUGUCUUGGGAUGAUGCUUCUGUCAGACGCCCACCAGUGUCAGAGGCUGUAUGAGCUGUCAUGGAGAAUGUGUCUGGCAAACUUUGCAACUCUCUUCAGAACAGAGGACUUCCUCAGCCUGCCCAAAGAUAAAGUCCAGGAGCUGAUUCUCAGUGAGGAGCUGGAGGUGGAGGACGAGAGCCUGGUGUACGAGGCGGUCAUCGACUGGGUGAAGGCGGACAUGGAGCGGCGGCACAGCGAGUUGCCGGAUCUGCUGCGAUGCGUGCGCCUGGCCCUGUUGCCAGAGUCCUAUCUGCUGAAGAACGUCGCUUCGGAGGAGUUGGUGAUGUGCCACAAGGUGGGCCGGGAGAUUGUAGAAGACGCAGUGCGGUGCAAGAUGAGGAUCCUCCAGAACGACGGCAUUGUGACGGGGUUCUGUGCGCGGCCCAGAAAAGUGAGCCAAGCCUUGCUGCUUCUUGGGGGACAGACAUUCAUGUGUGACAAAGUCUACAUGAUUGACAACAAAACCAAGGAGAUCACACCCAAAACAGACAUCCCAAGCCCUAGGAAGGAGUGCAGUGCUUGUGCCAUUGGUUGUAAGGUUUAUGUUACUGGAGGCCGCGGCUCUGAGAACGGAGCCUCCAAGGAUGUCUGGGUCUACGACACGUUGCACGAUGAGUGGUCAAAAGCAGCUCCAAUGCUUGUGGCCAGAUUUGGACAUGGCUCUGCAGAGCUUGACCACGUGCUGUACGUUGUGGGAGGACACACAUCGCUGGCGGGAUCCUUCCCUGCGUCUCCGUCGGUGUCUCUGAAACAAGUCGAACAGUACGACCCGCAGAGCAACAAGUGGACCCUGGUCGCCCCGCUGAGGGAAGGCGUGAGCAAUGCCGCGGUUGUCGGUGCCAAAAACAAACUCUUUGCUUUCGGAGGCACCAGUGUGAACAGAGACAAAUACCCCAAGGUGCAGUGCUUCGACCCCUGCCAGAACCGCUGGUCUGUACCCGCCGCCUGCCCUCAGCUGUGGCGGUACACGGCAGCGGCCGUCGUCGGCAACCACGUCGUCGUAAUCGGAGGUGACACGGAGUUCUCAGCCAGCUCUGCGUACCGCUUCAACAGCGAGACGUAUCAGUGGUCGAAGUUCGGUGACGUCACGGCCAAACGGAUCAGCUGUCACGCGGUGGCAUCAGGGAACAGGCUGUAUGUGGUUGGAGGGUACUUUGGGGCUCAGAGGUGUAAGACGCUAGACUGUUACGAUCCAUCAUCAGACUCCUGGGACAGCGUGACCAGUGUGCCAUACUCACUCAUUCCUACCGCCUUCGUCAGCACAUGGAAGUACCUGCCGUCUUAGACACACAGUGUCUGCAACUUUUCUAGAGCCACGAUGGAGACAGACAGCCUGACUGUAAAAGAUCAAAGCAGCACAUCCUUGUGAAUUCUCAGUUACACCAACCAGCCCACUGCUGCUGACGACAUGUAUGCCUUAUUAAAGCAGAGCCUGGAGGAGGGGGUUAAAAAAAAAAAAGAGCUCCAGUUUCUGGCCCAUCAAGUCAGACUUAUUUCCUCACGUGUCCUGUCUUUCUCUACCUGAGACCUUGGAGCCUGAAGGAGAAAAGAUGAGCUGCGGUGUCUGGUAUGCAGGCAUAUGUCUCUCUGCUGGCUCCAAAGAGGAGGAAGAUGAAGAAGAAGAAGGGGUUUGUGUCUUCUUGUUGGGGCUUCUGAUGAGUCUGCAGAGGAGCAGAGGCCUGGAAACCAGCCCAGAGACUGAGAGUCUGCGGCCUCCUCCCCCCACCUGAUCUGUUUACUCUGACUUCUUGUGUAACUUUCUCAUGGAAGCAGUCUGAGCGGGAGCAGUUGCCAUGAUUACUCCAGCGGACCUCGCAGUCAUCUCUGCUCCUUCUCUUUCCUCCUGCUGGGACAAAUAAGCUACUGUGACCGGACCAGACCUGCUCUGGGCCUUUUCCAGUUUUAUGGACAUGAUGUUUUACAGUGAAGCUCUCUCUCCCUUUCGCCUGACACGUUUACUCAGGUGUGUGUUAUUUCCCCGCUCGCGGGGCUGAAUUGGACCUCCUCAACCAACCGUGCGGUGAAGGAAGCAAGUAGUUUGUGAAAGUGUAUUAUUUUGUGCACAGAAAUAUUCUUCCUCUCUGUAUUUUUAGCCUUUGGACUCGGGCUUCCCUCAAUUUUGGUGAGCUAAAUUUGUAUUCUGCUCUGCAACUGAAAAAAGUAACAAGCUCGCAGGAGAGAAUGUUGAAGGAGAUACUUGUCUGUUUCAGUUCUUUUUUGUUUUUGUCUCAGGGUUGUUUUUUUUUGUUUUUUUUUACUUGUUCAAAGAAGGGUUACAUCUUCUUCUAUUGUCCUGUUAUUUCGUUUUUGUGAAUGUAAUAUUGAGUUGCAUUAUUUUUGACUCUUACAGAGGUCAAAAAUGAAAAAGAAAUAUAGCAAAAUCUUUAACUUUAGUCAUAUUUUGCAUUUGAAUAAAAGCUAAGCGUCUCCUCUGUAGUUAGCUCUGUAGGUCUUUUUAAAAAAAACAUUUCUAUGUACAUUUUUCAGAAGUCUUUCGUGUGUAUAGUUUGUACAUUAGUUUUGUAAUUAUUAAUAUGUAGAUAUCUUUGAUUUGCACAAAGAAACCCCCCAGUGGUCUUAAUUUUGUAUCUUGGUCUUAACCCAGCUUGGGCAGUGUGAGUAAUUGAAGCCUUUUUGUAGCACAUUUUCACGUCGUUCUUCUUCUUCCACAUUCACACACUGCAAGUCGCCAAUGUAUCUGUCUGCUCUACCAAUACGUAUACUGAUACAACCUGUCAAUAAACCCGAUUUUGCUGAAAACGA
RNA transcript from Poeciliopsis prolifica (blackstripe livebearer), 3509 nucleotides. It is a transcript of the gene named ectodermal-neural cortex 3, with no coding region annotated. NCBI's taxonomy places the organism in Eukaryota, Metazoa, Chordata, Actinopteri, Cyprinodontiformes, Poeciliidae. The transcript has 5 exons. The record is from RefSeq and is a predicted model, not a curated record.